GCUCCCCUGUCCUCAGCCUGGGUACCCGAGGUCAGGGUGGAGCAGUCCUGGGAUGCCUAGUUGGGAGGCCUAGCUCAGGGCCUGCAGCCCACCUAGCAGAGGCCAGGAGGGCCACCCGGGCAGCCCCCACCAUUCCUGCGGCAAGGUGUGUGUGCAGUGCCAGCCCAGCUCUUGGUACUUAGUAGGUCCUCAAUAAAUGGGUGUUCCCUCCCUCUUCCAUCAUGGGGGUGUCCGGGGGACAAACCCAAUCUUUCUCUGCCUCAUUUACACUCUGACCCAGGGGGACUCAAGUCUCUCCCUGCACAAGGGAACCACCCACCCCAGCCCCCAAGACCAGCCUCUCCGGAGGCAGGAAUGGCAGGCAUUGCAACAUGUACAUACUGAGUGCUGAGUAUGUGCCCUGUGCCUGUGGUACGAGUCUGGGCAUAAUAGCAGCUCCACCCUCAGGGCAGACAUUUGGGCA
Molecule: long non-coding RNA, 463 nt
Filed under: Homo sapiens (human)
Lineage: Eukaryota; Metazoa; Chordata; Mammalia; Primates; Hominidae
Description: HSALNT0039498
Source: RNAcentral